Molecule: ribosomal RNA, 760 nt
Filed under: uncultured Actinomyces sp.
Lineage: Bacteria; Bacillati; Actinomycetota; Actinomycetes; Actinomycetales; Actinomycetaceae
Description: bacterial SSU rRNA
Rfam family: Bacterial small subunit ribosomal RNA
Source: RNAcentral
GACGAACGCUGGCGGCGUGCUUAACACAUGCAAGUCGAACGGUGAAGGGACCAGCUUGCUGGUUCUGGAUGAGUGGCGAACGGGUGAGUAACACGUGAGUAACCUGCCCCCUUCUUCUGGAUAACCGCAUGAAAGUGUGGCUAAUACGGGAUAUUCUGGGUCUGUCGCAUGAUGGGUCCGGGAAAGGUUUUUUUCUGGUGGGGGAUGGGCUCGCGGCCUAUCAGCUUGUUGGUGGGGUGAUGGCCUACCAAGGCGGUGACGGGUAGCCGGCCUGAGAGGGUGGACGGUCACACUGGGACUGAGACACGGCCCAGACUCCUACGGGAGGCAGCAGUGGGGAAUAUUGCACAAUGGGCGCAAGCCUGAUGCAGCGACGCCGCGUGAGGGAUGGAGGCCUUCGGGUUGUGAACCUCUUUCGCCAGUGAAGCAGGCCUGCCUCGUUUGUGGGUGGGUUGACGGUGGCUGGAUAAGAAGCGCCGGCUAACUACGUGCCAGCAGCCGCGGUAAUACGUAGGGCGCGAGCGUUGUCCGGAAUUAUUGGGCGUAAAGAGCUCGUAGGCGGCUGGUCGCGUCUGUCGUGAAAUCCUCUGGCUUAACUGGGGGCUUGCGGUGGGUACGGGCCGGCUUGAGUGCGGUAGGGGAGGCUGGAACUCCUGGUGUAGCGGUGGAAUGCGCAGAUAUCAGGAAGAACACCGGUGGCGAAGGCGGGUCUCUGGGCCGUUACUGGCGCUGAGGAGCGAAAGCGUGGGGAGCGAACAGG